Molecule: ribosomal RNA, 778 nt
Filed under: uncultured bacterium
Lineage: Bacteria
Description: bacterial SSU rRNA
Rfam family: Bacterial small subunit ribosomal RNA
Source: RNAcentral
AGAGUUUGAUCCUGGCUCAGAACGAACGCUGGCGGCGUGCCUAACACAUGCAAGUCGAACGAGAAAGUUCCUUCGGGAGCGAGUAAAGUGGCGCAAGGGUGAGUAACACGUGAAUAAUCUGCCCUCAAACCCGGGAUAACUUGGCGAAAGCCGAGCUAAUACUGGAUAAGACCACGUUUCAGAAGAAACGCGGUAAAAGGAGUCAAAAGCUUUGUUUGAGGAUGAGUUCGCGGACCAUUAGCUAGUUGGUGAGAUAACAGCCCACCAAGGCAAUGAUGGUUAGCCGGCCUGAGAGGGUGAUCGGCCACACUGGAACUGAGACACGGUCCAGACUCCUACGGGAGGCAGCAGUGGGGAAUUUUGCGCAAUGGGCGAAAGCCUGACGCAGCAACGCCGCGUGAGCGAUGAAGGCCUUCGGGUUGUAAAGCUCUGUCGAGUGGGAAGAACAAAAUGACGGUACCACUAAAGGAAGCCCCGGCUAACUCCGUGCCAGCAGCCGCGGUAAUACGGAGGGGGCGAGCGUUGUUCGGAAUUAUUGGGCGUAAAGCGUAUGUAGGCGGUCAAGCAAGUCAGACGUGUAAUCCCUCGGCUCAACUGAGGAGUUGCGUUUGAUACUAUUUGACUUGAGUAUAUGAGAGGAAAGUGGAAUUCCCAGUGUAGCGGUGAAAUGCAUUGAUAUUGGGAAGAACACCAGUGGCGAAGGCGGCUUUCUGGCAUAUUACUGACGCUGAGAUACGAAAGCCAGGGGAGCGAACGGGAUUAGAUACCCUGGUAGUCC